CCUUUCAGGUAACCCAAUUCAUCCAUGGCUGCUGGACAGCUACAGGUGGCACUUGAGUGAGGGGUCUGAAAAUGGGGGCAUCUACUGAGAAACACUUUCUUGGGAGGAGCUCCACAGAAAGUGGAAAAAGUUACAGUAUCCUGCAUGAUUGGUUACCUUCACACAGGAUUGCUUUCAGCAAGCUCAGCUAUUCACCAUGACAGUUACUCACCUAUAUGAAGAAACCCAUUGAAUGCAUUCAUAUUCAUAUGUGGCUUUGGUCUGAAUGGGAAAGAAUUUGAAGACCAGUAGCCAGAGAUGGGACUGUGUAGCAGGUCUGAGAAAGUCUCUACAUUUUACAAAAUCCACCUACACUGAGUUAUAAUGAGCUAUGUGAGUAAAUAUGUGAGGUAAUGCAAGUAAAUGGAACU
Long non-coding RNA from Mus musculus (house mouse), 410 nucleotides. RefSeq annotates it as predicted gene, 40508. The transcript is spliced from 3 exons. NCBI's taxonomy places the organism in Eukaryota, Metazoa, Chordata, Mammalia, Rodentia, Muridae. The record is from RefSeq and is a predicted model, not a curated record.